Molecule: long non-coding RNA, 1217 nt
Filed under: Coccomyxa subellipsoidea
Lineage: Eukaryota; Viridiplantae; Chlorophyta; Trebouxiophyceae; Coccomyxaceae
Description: long non-coding RNA (CSUB_LNC000179)
Source: RNAcentral
GCUUACAGGGGAAUAUAUGACGUAACACCCUCCAACUGGUACCUAGGCCUUCAUUUGCUGCAUGCUGCUGAUAAUUUCUUGAAUCCUACCAGGAUCAACAUGAUGGCCGCCAUGGCCAUGCGACGUUCUAGAACGGCCCCAGCUCGAACCUAGGCAUCAUGAUGAAAAAUUUUAGAUUUUCAGUUUAUGGUAAGGAGCUGUAUGGCCUCUGGGAUAUGGCCUCUGGGAUAUGGCUGGUAAGGUAAGGUAAGGUAAGUAGUACAGGUGAGUAGCAGCGGUGUACACUUUGCGUCAGCUUGCACUUCGGCCAUCCCGUUCUGUCUUCACACGUGCUCGCCCUGGUCUUUGCGUUGCUUCCCACCACAGCUGUUCACAUAGUGUACCUGUAUAUUUUCGAUACCAUUUAGGGUGCCUUGUGUCUUUUCCGUGCAGUUCGAGUAGGUUUCUGUGCGCAUGUGACGGUUGGUAGUUUUGUCCCUCGUUCCCCUCUCACGUUCUUGCCUCCUUCACCUCUGUGAUACUGUUGUGUAUCCUUGUAUCACUUAUUACACUUUGUGUUGCGUGUCCAGCUUUCCUGUGCGCCUCUUGUGUGCGGUUUGUGUAGGUGACCGUUGGCUGUCGAUGCCCUUAAUGCCCACACCUCCAUGAGGCAGACACAGCCUGUUGCAGACGGAGGUUAAGAGGGAUACAUUGAGGUGCAGCUGUGGUCGUUUCGGCUUCGUAAUCCUGCCAGACUACACUUCAAAUUUUGCACUCAGCCAUCUGCAGAUGUGGUGCCCUGUGACUUUCGUGAGAGUGCCUGGACGAACAUUUGCCUGUUCUGACUACCUAGGGCUGUUUAUUAGUUGCCUUUGCCCCACUCUGCGAUUCCCUGCAUGAUAUCCUCGACGUCACCCACAGGGUGUUGCGUCGCUGGCGGGCCAGAGGUGUCAGUUCCAGAGGGAUACUGGUCUGAGACAGGGAUUGCUUGAUUGUGCAUGCUAUGAUAUGCAUUUGCUUGCUGUGCUGUGUAGCAUUGUUUGGUGGUGGGGGUGAUGGUAUGUUCCUUAAUACGCACGGCUCACUUGGACUUAGAAUAUUAGCAUGAUACCAUAUGGGCUGCAGACCAGACCUUCAGGCCCCACAGAUGUGGCUGCAGACACUCUGUGUGUAUGCCCUAUGGCCUUCGGGCUUUGGGUUUGCCGACACUGUAAUAAUAAUAAUAAUAAAAAUGCUGC